This 1194-nucleotide ribosomal RNA is filed under the name Nematoda environmental sample. RNAcentral's name for it is "SSU rRNA". It matches the Rfam family "Eukaryotic small subunit ribosomal RNA", at positions 91 to 1296 of the family's 1831-position model. The record is from RNAcentral. Lineage: Eukaryota; Metazoa; Nematoda.
ACCGGCUCAUUACAACAGCCAUAGUUUAUUGGAUCUUUACCUUCUUACACGGAUAACUGCGGUAAUUCUGGAGCUACUACGUGCAUUAAACGACGACCUUACGGAAGUCGUGCAUUUGUUAGACCAAACCAAUCGGUCUUCGGACCGCCAUUUGGUGAACUCUGAAUAACUUUGCUGAUCGCACAGUCUCGUACUGGCGACAAAUCUUUCAAGUGUCUGCCUUAUCAACUUUCGAUGGUAGUUUAUACGCCUACCAUGGUUGUAACGGGUAACGGAGAAUAAGGGUUCGACUCCGGAGAGGGAGCCUGAGAAACGGCUACCACAUCCAAGGAAGGCAGCAGGCGCGCAAAUUACCCACUCGCAGAACGCGGAGGUAGUGACGAAAAAUAACGAGGUGGCUCUCUACGAGGUCCGCCAUCGGAAUGGGUACAAUUUAAAUCCUUUAACGAGGAUCUAUUGGAGGGCAAGUCUGGUGCCAGCAGCCGCGGUAAUUCCAGCUCCAAUAGCGUAUAUUAAAGUUGUUGCGGUUAAAAAGCUCGUAGUUGGAUCUGCGUUCGGUGAAAGCGGUCGCCCGACGGGUUGUACUGCUUCUCCCGAACUAAUCAUUCGGUUUUCCCUUGAUGCUCUUCAUUGAGUGUCCUGGGUGACCGGAACUUUUACUUUGAAAAAAUUAGAGUGCUCAAAGCAGGCGAUUCGCCCGAAUAUUCGUGCAUGGAAUAAUGAAAAAGGUCCUUGUAGCCUUUUAUUGGUUAUUGCUAUGAGGAAAUGAUCGAAGGGGACAGACGGGGGCAUUUGUAUUGCGACGUUAGAGGUGAAAUUCUUGGAUCGUCGCAAGACAAACUACUGCGAAAGCAUUUGCCAAGAAUGUUUUCAUCAAUCAAGAACGAAAGUCUGAGGUUCGACAGCGAUCAGAUACCGCUUUAGUUCAGACCGUAAACGAUGCCAUCUGGCGAUCCAUGGGUGUUAUGUAUGACUCCAUGGGCAGCCACCGGGAAACCUUUAAGUUGGGUUCCGGGGGAAGUAUGGUUGCAAAGCUGAAACUUAAAGGAAUUGACGGAAGGGCACCACCAGGAGUGGAGCCUGCGGCUUAAUUUGACUCAACACGGGAAAACUCACCCGGCCCGGACACUGUAAGGAUUGACAGAUUGAUAGCUCUUUCUUGAUUCGGUGGGUGGUGGUGCAUGGCCGUUCUUA